GCCUUCUUGGCUCAGCUGGCAGAGCGUCUGCCUAGUAAGCAGAAGGUCACCAGUUCGAUUCUGGUAGAAGGCA
This 73-nucleotide transfer RNA is filed under the name Coemansia sp. RSA 25. RNAcentral describes it as "tRNA-Thr". It matches the Rfam family "tRNA". From Rfam's summary of the family: Transfer RNA (tRNA) molecules are approximately 80 nucleotides in length. Their secondary structure includes four short double-helical elements and three loops (D, anti-codon, and T loops). Further hydrogen bonds mediate the characteristic L-shaped molecular structure. tRNAs have two regions of fundamental functional importance: the anti-codon, which is responsible for specific mRNA codon recognition, and the 3' end, to which the tRNAs corresponding amino acid is attached (by aminoacyl-tRNA synthetases). tRNAs cope with the degeneracy of the genetic code in two manners: having more than one tRNA (with a specific anti-codon) for a particular amino acid; and 'wobble' base-pairing, i.e. permitting non-standard base-pairing at the 3rd anti-codon position. Lineage: Eukaryota; Fungi; Kickxellomycota; Kickxellomycetes; Kickxellales; Kickxellaceae. The record is from RNAcentral. RNAcentral also lists the same sequence under 5 other names.